This 213-nucleotide ribosomal RNA is filed under the name Triticum aestivum (bread wheat). RNAcentral's name for it is "partial small subunit ribosomal RNA". Lineage: Eukaryota; Viridiplantae; Streptophyta; Magnoliopsida; Poales; Poaceae. The record is from RNAcentral.
AUGGCGCACGACUGCUCAUGUCUGCGCUCUCUCCUACAGAGGUCUCUCUUUGGUGCAGCGCGCUGUGUGUGGUCUGGCGAGUGGCGGACCCCGACGGCGCGGUACCCGGCCCAACGCGAUACUUCUCAUCCCAGCGGGACCUUGGCGGAGACGAGGCUCUUCCUCCGGCAGGCAGCCCGCCCCGACGCUCAGCGAGGUCCGAGUUCGACGUGA